CCCGCUGAACUUAAGCAUAUUAUUAAGCGGAGGAAAAGAAACUAACAAGGAUGCCCUCAGUAACGGCGAGUGAAGCGGGCAAAGCUCAACCUGAAAAUCUGGUUUCCAAACGGGAAUCCGAAUUGUGGGCUACAGAUACGUGAUCAGUGUGUGACCCGGGUAUAAGUGUUGUUGGAAAACGCUAACAUAGAGGGUGAUAUUCCCGUCCGUGACCUGGAGUUCGCCGCGUACGAUCCGUUUUCGAAGAGUCGCGUUGUUUGGGAUUGCAGCGCUAAAUGGGUGGUAAAUUUCAUCUAAAGCUAAAUAUCGACGAGAGACCGAUAGCGAACAAGUACCGUGAGGGAAAGAUGAAAAGAACUUUGAAAAGAGAGUUAAAAAGUACUUGAAAUUGCUAAGAGGGAAGCACUGGAUACCAGUCGUGGUCAGUUGUCUUUUUAAUAUCUGCUCCUGGAUUCUUGUUUACGUGAGAGCCCAAAGCCUCACGUGGGCCGGAUGAAAAUGUGGGUAUGUCGGAUGAUUGACUGAGUCAGAGUCAAUUAGAUUUGUGGGAGAAAGCUAUCACGACGCUUCAAGGCACCCGCAAGGAAUGCUUUGUUAGUGUGGUAGUGCUACCAUGGAUUUGAUUGAGGAAAAUUUUGAAACGCGCGCCUUCGGGUUAGCGGGACCUGUUCCCUGGCGGAUCAAAGAGCUUGUACAACAAAGUUGUGCGGUCCUUGAAGUCUGUUACUGGUUCGGGUAUCCCAGCAGCUGCAUUCGAGAUUCUGACGAAAUGGUAUUCAUUGACCCGUCUUGAAACACGG
Molecule: ribosomal RNA, 800 nt
Filed under: uncultured fungus
Lineage: Eukaryota; Fungi
Description: eukaryotic LSU rRNA
Rfam family: Eukaryotic large subunit ribosomal RNA
Source: RNAcentral